This 425-nucleotide ribosomal RNA is filed under the name Verrucomicrobiota bacterium. RNAcentral's name for it is "Verrucomicrobia bacterium partial 16S ribosomal RNA". It matches the Rfam family "Bacterial small subunit ribosomal RNA", at positions 355 to 776 of the family's 1533-position model. The record is from RNAcentral. Lineage: Bacteria; Pseudomonadati; Verrucomicrobiota.
UGAGGAAUAUUGGUCAAUGGGCGAGAGCCUGAACCAGCCACGUCGCGUGAAGGAAGACUGACCUUACGGUUUGUAAACUUCUUUUGUAGAGGGGUAAUGGCAGAUACGUGUAUUUGCGUGAAAGUACUCUACGAAUAAGCAUCGGCUAACUCCGUGCCAGCAGCCGCGGUAAUACGGGGGAUGCGAGCGUUAUCCGGAAUUAUUGGGUUUAAAGGGUGCGCGGGUGGCUAAUCAGGUCAGUGGUGAAAAGCUAUGGCUCAACCAUGGUCUUGCCAUUGAAACCGUAUAGCUAGAGAGGAGACGAGGUAGGCGGAAUGUGUGGUGUAGCGGUGAAAUGCUUAGAUAUCAUGAAGAACUCCGAUUGCGAAGGCAGCUUACGGGAGUGUUACUGACGCUUAAGCUCGAAGGUGCGGGUAUCGAACAGG